GCCUGUGUACGCGUGGGAUCUACCUAUUUUCUACGGAAUAACGCAGGGAAACUUGUGCUAAUACCGUAUAAGCCCUUCGGGGGAAAGAUUUAUCGGGAAAGGAUGAGCCCGCGUUGGAUUAGCUAGUUGGUGGGGUAAAGGCCUACCAAGGCGACGAUCCAUAGCUGGUCUGAGAGGAUGAUCAGCCACAUUGGGACUGAGACACGGCCCAAACUCCUACGGGAGGCAGCAGUGGGGAAUAUUGGACAAUGGGCGCAAGCCUGAUCCAGCCAUGCCGCGUGAGUGAUGAAGGCCCUAGGGUUGUAAAGCUCUUUCACCGGUGAAGAUAAUGACGGUAACCGGAGAAGAAGCCCCGGCUAACUUCGUGCCAGCAGCCGCGGUAAUACGAAGGGGGCUAGCGUUGUUCGGAAUUACUGGGCGUAAAGCGCACGUAGGCGGACAUUUAAGUCAGGGGUGAAAUCCCAGAGCUCAACUCUGGAACUGCCUUUGAUACUGGGUGUCUAGAGUAUGGAAGAGGUGAGUGGAAUUCCGAGUGUAGAGGUGAAAUUCGUAGAUAUUCGGAGGAACACCAGUGGCGAAGGCGGCUCACUGGUCCAUUACUGACGCUGAGGUGCGAAAGCGUGGGGAGC
This 629-nucleotide ribosomal RNA is filed under the name Ensifer sp. EECC-592. RNAcentral describes it as "bacterial SSU rRNA". It matches the Rfam family "Bacterial small subunit ribosomal RNA", at positions 100 to 769 of the family's 1533-position model. Lineage: Bacteria; Pseudomonadati; Pseudomonadota; Alphaproteobacteria; Hyphomicrobiales; Rhizobiaceae. The record is from RNAcentral.